UACGUAGGUGGCGAGCGUUGUCCGGAAUUACUGGGUGUAAAGGGAGCGUAGGCGGGAAGACAAGUUGAAUGUUUAAACUAUCGGCUUAACCGGUAGUCGCGUUCAAAACUGUUUUUCUUGAGUGAAGUAGAGGCAGGCGGAAUUCCUAGUGUAGCGGUGAAAUGCGUAGAUAUUAGGAGGAACACCAGUGGCGAAGGCGGCCUGCUGGGCUUUAACUGACGCUGAGGCUCGAAAGCGUGGGUAGCAAACAGG
RNAcentral lists this ribosomal RNA (252 nucleotides) under [Clostridium] methylpentosum DSM 5476. RNAcentral describes it as "partial 16S ribosomal RNA". It matches the Rfam family "Bacterial small subunit ribosomal RNA", at positions 524 to 776 of the family's 1533-position model. Lineage: Bacteria; Bacillati; Bacillota; Clostridia; Eubacteriales; Oscillospiraceae. The record is from RNAcentral.